Small nuclear RNA from Grammomys surdaster, 104 nucleotides. The record is from RefSeq and is a predicted model, not a curated record. Lineage: Eukaryota; Metazoa; Chordata; Mammalia; Rodentia; Muridae.
GUUUGCUUUUAUAAACUCGUACACCAAAAUUAGAACAAUACAAAGAAGAUUAACAUAGGCCUUAUACAAGGAUGAUGCAAAUUCAUGAAAUGUUCCAUAUUUAA